UACGUAGGGGGCGAGCGUUGUCCGGAUUUAUUGGGCGUAAAGAGCUCGUAGGCGGUUUGGCAAGUCGGGUGUGAAAACUCCGGGCUCAACUCGGAGACGCCACUCGAUACUGCCAUGACUCGAGUCCGGUAGGGGAGUGCGGAAUUCCUGGUGUAGCGGUGAAAUGCGCAGAUAUCAGGAGGAACACCGGUGGCGAAGGCGGCACUCUGGGCCGGUACUGACGCUGAGGAGCGAAAGGGUGGGGAGCAAACAGG
This 254-nucleotide ribosomal RNA is filed under the name uncultured bacterium. Its description in RNAcentral is "partial 16S ribosomal RNA". It matches the Rfam family "Bacterial small subunit ribosomal RNA", at positions 524 to 776 of the family's 1533-position model. The record is from RNAcentral.